Molecule: small nucleolar RNA, 134 nt
Organism: Chanos chanos (milkfish)
Lineage: Eukaryota; Metazoa; Chordata; Actinopteri; Gonorynchiformes; Chanidae
Product: small nucleolar RNA SNORA57
Exons: 1
Source: RefSeq, a predicted model, not a curated record
CCUCCCUUUGCUGACAUGCUUGUGGCGGUUCAGUGCUCUUGUGUGUCAUACCAGGAGGAAGAGUAAACUCAGUGUUAUGCUUUCAGUUCCAGUGUGCCUGUCUGCUGGUUCCAACUUCAAUCACUGGCACAGGC